This 334-nucleotide unclassified non-coding RNA is filed under the name soil metagenome. RNAcentral's name for it is "partial contains 5.8S ribosomal RNA, internal transcribed spacer 2, and large subunit ribosomal RNA". The stretch from base 1 to 120 matches the Rfam family "5.8S ribosomal RNA", at positions 35 to 154 of the family's 154-position model. The record is from RNAcentral.
GAUGAAGAACGUAGCGAAAUGCGAUAAGUAAUGUGAAUUGCAGAAUUCAGUGAAUCAUCGAAUCUUUGAACGCACAUUGCGCCCCCCAGUAUUCUGGCGGGCAUGCCUGUUCGAGCGUCAUUUCAACCAUCAAGCCCUGCUUGUGUUGGGGUCCUGCGGCUGCCCGCAGGCCCUGAAAACCAGUGGCGGGCUCGCUAGUCACACCGAGCGCAGUAGCACAUCUCGCUCAGGGCGUGCGGCGGGCUACAGCCGUUAAAGCACCCACCUUUCGCAAGGUUGACCUCGGAUCAGGUAGGAAUACCCGCUGAACUUAAGCAUAUCAAUAAGCGGAGGA